Molecule: non-coding RNA, 186 nt
Filed under: Thermodesulfovibrionales bacterium
Lineage: Bacteria; Pseudomonadati; Nitrospirota; Thermodesulfovibrionia; Thermodesulfovibrionales
Description: 6S RNA
Rfam family: 6S / SsrS RNA
About the family: E. coli 6S RNA was the first non coding RNA to be sequenced, but its function was unknown until recently. It consists of 184 nucleotides that fold into an extended hairpin structure with a large single-stranded internal bulge. The 6S RNA specifically associates with RNA polymerase holoenzyme containing the sigma70 specificity factor.
Source: RNAcentral
GAUUGCCUGCCCUGUUUGUGAUGGGUGAAAAUGUUGAUCCAGCAAAUUAGAUCUUUAGGGAGCUUGCGUAAGCGGGACGGUGAGCAUGUCCUCUCAAAAAGAGGAAAGCCUGAAGUCCCCUUCAGGGCACCCACCUGUCGGACAGGCGGAUCUGAUUAUUCACUCGCACGGCAGGGCGGGCUUUUA